This 28-nucleotide non-coding RNA is filed under the name Homo sapiens (human). Lineage: Eukaryota; Metazoa; Chordata; Mammalia; Primates; Hominidae. The record is from RNAcentral.
UGAAAGGAAUGCUGAUGGACUUAGGCCC